GGCUUUGCGCUGUGGCAGUAUCAUAGCCAAUAGGUUUAUCCAAGGCACAAUUAUUGCUAAUUGAAAACUUAGAGUCCAACUCAU
This is a non-coding RNA of Heterocephalus glaber (naked mole-rat), 84 nucleotides long. Lineage: Eukaryota; Metazoa; Chordata; Mammalia; Rodentia; Bathyergidae. The record is from Rfam.